This is a long non-coding RNA of Asparagus officinalis (garden asparagus), 709 nucleotides long. RefSeq lists it as uncharacterized. The record is from RefSeq and is a predicted model, not a curated record. NCBI's taxonomy places the organism in Eukaryota, Viridiplantae, Streptophyta, Magnoliopsida, Asparagales, Asparagaceae. The transcript has 2 exons.
UCCAAACAAGCCCUAAAUUAUUCCAAACAAUCUGUUACUUUUAGAUUUUGCUUGAGAUAUUCUUCCACUUGAAUAUUGAAAAAUUCACCGGCUUCCUUCCAGAAAAAUCCCACGCUUCCUCCCCCAAGCGCCGAUCUCUUCACCGUCCCAAACAUCAAAAUUCGCCGGCUUCCUUCCCCAUUGUCGGCGACGAUCUCAAGCGAAUCCAAUUCUUUAUUUUUCUCUGAUUUUCAUCCCCUGAUCUCCCCUGGUCCAUUUUUCUCGGACGUGCUGUCAACGACAAUCUCAAGCGAACCCAAUUCUCAAGCGAACUUCAGAAUCUUCAAAAUCAUAGGGAGUGCUGGAGAUGUUCUUGAAGAUGAUCCAGUUGGAAGGUUGAAAGUAAUCGUUUAUGAGCUGCCUAGCAAAUACAACAAGAAGAUUAUUUAGAAGGAUCAAAGAUGCCUCAACCAUAUGUUUGUUGCUGAGAUUUUCAUGCACUGUUUCUUAUUAUCGAGUCCUAUACAGACCCUCAACCAUGAAAAGGCUGAUUGGUUCUACACACCAGUCUACACUAGUUGUGACCUAACUCCAAAUGACUCCCUUUACCGUUUCUUGUUUUCUAUUUCUUUUUUAUGUUGGCUGAUUAAUGGAUAUAUUUUAGUCAAUUGUUGCUUUGGACGCUUAUGAAUAAACUUUCAAAUCAUAAUGUUGGGAUUCCCUUUCAUAA